This is a long non-coding RNA of Stylophora pistillata, 311 nucleotides long. The record is from RefSeq and is a predicted model, not a curated record. NCBI's taxonomy places the organism in Eukaryota, Metazoa, Cnidaria, Anthozoa, Scleractinia, Pocilloporidae.
CCCAGUGAUAACCGAUGCCACUAUAAGGCAUUUCAUCACCUCCAAAGUUGUUGGUUGCGUGGGGAAGUCGAAUAAGUUUUGGAGCAGAACAACAAGCUCGACAUCUGCCCACACAAGUAGGCGUUACCUGAUGCUGAAAUAUUGGGUGAACUUGAUAAAGCUUUUUCAUCACUGACUACAAGUACCGCAUCUAGUACAGAUAAAGGCGAGACAAGCUCAACUAGCGAUUUUCAAGGCAAGUUACACAACUGAAAAUAAAAUGCGGGUUUGAAAAGUAAACUGAAGAAAGAAAGAAUACUUAUAGAAGCUUC